RNAcentral lists this ribosomal RNA (584 nucleotides) under fungal sp. 94. RNAcentral's name for it is "eukaryotic LSU rRNA". The stretch from base 214 to 367 matches the Rfam family "5.8S ribosomal RNA". Lineage: Eukaryota; Fungi. The record is from RNAcentral.
CAUUAAGGUCUCGUUGGUGACCAGCGGAGGGAUCAUUACAGAGUUGCAAAACUCCCUAAACCAUUGUGAACGUUACCUAAACCGUUGCUUCGGCGGGCGGCGCCGGGGUUUACCCCCCGGGCGCCCCUGGGCCCCACCGCGGGCGCCCGCCGGAGGUCACCAAACUCUUGAUAAUUUAUGGCCUCUCUGAGUCUUCUGUACUGAAUAAGUCAAAACUUUCAACAACGGAUCUCUUGGUUCUGGCAUCGAUGAAGAACGCAGCGAAAUGCGAUAAGUAAUGUGAAUUGCAGAAUUCAGUGAAUCAUCGAAUCUUUGAACGCACAUUGCGCCCGCCAGUAUUCUGGCGGGCAUGCCUGUUCGAGCGUCAUUUCAACCAUCAAGCCCCGGGCUUGUGUUGGGGACCUGCGGCUGCCGCAGGCCCUGAAAAGCAGUGGCGGGCUCGCUGUCACACCGAGCGUAGUAGCAUACAUCUCGCUCUGGGCGUGCUGCGGGUUCCGGCCGUUAAACCACCUUUUAACCCAAGGUUGACCUCGGAUCAGGUAGGAAGACCCGCUGAACUUAAGCAUAUCAAAGACCGGAAGGAA